RNAcentral lists this small nuclear RNA (18 nucleotides) under Arabidopsis thaliana (thale cress). RNAcentral's name for it is "snRNA_07411". Lineage: Eukaryota; Viridiplantae; Streptophyta; Magnoliopsida; Brassicales; Brassicaceae. The record is from RNAcentral.
GUAGGAGCUUAGGCUCCC